AGCUUAUAAACCCGAUGAGAUGGUUAUGAGCAUGAGGGAUGUAAAGAUGUGGCAUCCAGCAAACUCACCUUUGCACUUGCAAGGACUAUGACCUGCCUCUGCCCUGCUAAGUGAAGUGGAUCUUGUGCCUGGAUCUAUAAGAGUUCACUGGGAGCGUGAGGCUGCAGCCUCAAUAGCAAGUGAUGCUCUCACACAGCCAGAGGAAAUCAUACUGGAAACUGUCUCUGUUGCUGACGCCUCAUGACUGGACCUGGGAGCAGGGACUAACCCAGGUCCCGUCUUCAAACCCAGCAUAAACAGGAACGUAAGAAAUGAACACACCUUCAGAAGAUGGAGUGGAAGAUAAAAGAGAAGGAGUGAAGUCGUGGACGAUAUAUGUUUGCUAUUGCACAGAGAGAUGGGGAACCAACCAGCCACGAGGAAUAGCAUGACGAAUUGGAGCCAGCUCGGCAGGUUGCACGCUGGCAAUGCCUCAAGGACAAGAAACAAAUGAUCCACUGCUGUGUUUGUAAUAGGAUGGAGGGUAAAAGAUGGCAGGCAAGGAGAGACGGUCCCGCGGCUGGAAGGAGCAAGAGGGAGAUGCUGGUGGAGAUGUGAAAAUCCACCCAUUGGGUUAGGCUUUGGAGAACAUUACUCCUUCAUUUUUUCCUGUCUGGUUUGCUGUCCUGGGGGAGUAGUUGAGGUUCUGGGCAUACACGGAGUGGGAUAGAAAGUAACAGGGGGGAAAGGAUGGAUGGGAAAAUAGGGCUAAAGACUCGAGGAGCAGGGAGAGGCUGCUGAGCUGUGGGACGUGAGGUUUCUUCUUAAAGUACCUUGGAGAUUCGCAGGGAAAAGGAAGGCUGAGAACAGGAGAAGGGACAGAAGACAUCAGAUGGACAUCAGAUGGGACACGGCAGUUUGUGCAUGAGGUGUCAGGGAACCUCAGUGUUACGGACCACAAGCGAAGCUAUAGGGAGAUGGGCAAAAAAAUAACACUACCUCAGGACCUGUACUAGUCAUGGCAGCUGUCACAGAUGUAUAUCAAAAGCUCCCACAAACCCUGGAAAUUUCAUUAAGAAGUCCAUAAUCCCUGGACACAUAUGGAAUUAUGACACCCCUCAUCCUUCCCUGUGUCAAAAUCCUCCAAGCCUCAGCUACCUUAAGAAGUUGUUUAUAAUAGAUCUGAGAGUUUACAUCUUCUUAAUGCUACCAUAUAGGGUAUUUGCAGCUGGAUAUAUUUGACUGAAAUAGUGCAUUUUUUAUGGUGAUCAGGCCUUGAUUAAAAAAUAUUUUUUGUGUCAGACACUUUCUGCCACUGUCUGCCAUAAAUCAGUUUGUCACAUA
Molecule: long non-coding RNA, 1323 nt
Organism: Pezoporus occidentalis (night parrot)
Lineage: Eukaryota; Metazoa; Chordata; Aves; Psittaciformes; Psittacidae
Exons: 3
Source: RefSeq, a predicted model, not a curated record